UUCCCUCAGGAUAGCUGGAG
RNAcentral lists this small nuclear RNA (20 nucleotides) under Arabidopsis thaliana (thale cress). RNAcentral describes it as "snRNA_00143". The record is from RNAcentral. Lineage: Eukaryota; Viridiplantae; Streptophyta; Magnoliopsida; Brassicales; Brassicaceae.